RNAcentral lists this ribosomal RNA (606 nucleotides) under uncultured bacterium. RNAcentral describes it as "bacterial SSU rRNA". It matches the Rfam family "Bacterial small subunit ribosomal RNA", at positions 331 to 929 of the family's 1533-position model. The record is from RNAcentral.
CCAGACUCCUACGGGAGGCAGCAGUGGGGAAUCUUCCGCAAUGGGCGAAAGCCUGACGGAGCAACGCCGCGUGAGUGAAGAAGGUCUUCGGAUCGUAAAGCUCUGUUGUUGGGGACGAAAGGGAAGGGGAGGAAAUGCCCUUUUUAAGACGGUACCCGACGAGCAAGCCACGGCUAACUACGUGCCAGCAGCCGCGGUAAUACGUAGGUGGCGAGCGUUGUCCGGAAUGAUUGGGCGUAAAGGGAGCGCAGGUGGGACGGUAAGUCCUUCUUAAAAGCGUGGGGCUCAGCCCCAUGAAGGGAAGGAAACUAUCGAUCUUGAGUGCCGGAGAGGAAAGCGGAAUUCCCAGUGUAGCGGUGAAAUGCGUAGAUAUUGGGAAGAACACCAGUGGCGAAGGCGGCUUUCUGGACGGCAACUGACACUGAGGCUCGAAAGCCAGGGGAGCGAACGGGAUUAGAUACCCCGGUAGUCCUGGCCGUAAACGAUGGAUACUAGGUGUAGGAGGUAUCGACCCCUUCCGUGCCGGAGUUAACGCAAUAAGUAUCCCGCCUGGGGAGUACGGUCGCAAGACUGAAACUCAAAGGAAUUGACGGGGGCCCGCACAAG